CGCUCUGGAGGAGGAAAAAGCUUUGGUGUCUGUCAAGAACAUUAUUCAAAAAUUCUUGGACACUUCUAAGCCCUUGCUGUGAGCAUGGAGACGGGGGACUGAGGGAAGCUUUGCCUAGGCUGGGAUGGCCCUUGGGUUUAGCCCCAGGUUUGCGUGCUGCUGUAUUCAUGGAUACUGCCCCAGAGGGAAGAAGCACCAUGGGGACUCUCACUGCGAAGAAGACAGACCAUUAUCACCACUCCUCCCCUCUGUUUCCCCAAAGCCCCCUCCUGACCCCAGCGUCAAUCUUCCACGCUGGCUGGUAUAGCUUUCCUCAGGGCAGGGGCGGAUCACCAACUCAGGCCUCCAUCCAGGGGUUUCCUGUCACCAAAGUUGCACUAAUGCAAAUCCAUUUUUCAUUAGGAGAAAAUAAAACUCACAAGUGACAUCAACUGAAAAA
This is a non-coding RNA of Macaca mulatta (Rhesus monkey), 439 nucleotides long. Lineage: Eukaryota; Metazoa; Chordata; Mammalia; Primates; Cercopithecidae. The record is from RefSeq and is a predicted model, not a curated record.